RNAcentral lists this long non-coding RNA (554 nucleotides) under Meriones unguiculatus (Mongolian gerbil). RNAcentral describes it as "lncRNA (ENSMUGG00000018294.1)". The record is from RNAcentral. Lineage: Eukaryota; Metazoa; Chordata; Mammalia; Rodentia; Muridae.
AUUCCGGGAGUUCUCCACUACAGGCUCACCUUUUGAAGGUUUUGAAAACAGUAUCUACCAUGACUGUAGCUCUCGCUAUCAUGUGACCUGGUCUCAGGCUGUCUUGACUCUACAGAGAUGGAAGGAUGGACUCAGGCAUGAAGAGGAGCCAGGCUCUUGUACACCAGACCAAGGAGCUUCAUCACAAGGAAGUGUCUAUGGAACAGAGACCAACUAUGGAGCUGAGACAAGAAAGGGGACCUACUCCAAGGGAUGUUCAUCUUUCCCACAUGAGGGCACAAACUCUUUUUCAAAGGGUGAAUGAAGAGGAAAAGAAAGAAGUUUUCAGAGCUGGAAUCAUUCUAUUAAUGAUGAAGUCAUUUUGCCGUCUAGAUUUUGUUAGUAUUUAGGCAGCCUGCUUCUGGUUUGGCUAGCAACCCAUGAUGUCAUCAUGUGUCACCCACCAGGUAGCCACACGUGGAAGGCAUUGUUAAGUUUCUCCUUAAAAGGGUCAACCCACCACUUUGUCGCUCUCUUGCCCUCUCGUCUCUUGUCUUCUUACCUUCUUGCCCUCU